RNAcentral lists this ribosomal RNA (451 nucleotides) under uncultured bacterium. RNAcentral describes it as "bacterial SSU rRNA". It matches the Rfam family "Bacterial small subunit ribosomal RNA", at positions 338 to 780 of the family's 1533-position model. The record is from RNAcentral.
CCUACGGGACGCACCAGUGGGGACUAUUGCACAAUGGGCGCAAGCCUGAUGCAGCCAUGCCGCGUGUAUGAAGAAGGCCUUCGGGUUGUAAAGUACUUUCAGCGGGGAGGAAGGUGUUGAGGUUAAUAACCUCAGCAGUUGACGUUACCCGCAGAAUGAAGCACCGGCUAACUCCGUGCCAGCAGCCGCGGUAAUACGGAGGGUGCAAGCGUUAAUCGGAAUUACUGGGCGUAAAGCGCACGCAGGCGGUCUGUCAAGUCGGAUGUGAAAUCCCCGGGCUCAACCUGGGAACUGCAUUCGAAACUGGCAGGCUAGAGUCUUGUAGAGGGGGGUAGAAUUCCAGGUGUAGCGGUGAAAUGCGUAGAGAUCUGGAGGAAUACCGGUGGCGAAGGCGGCCCCCUGGACAAAGACUGACGCUCAGGUGCGAAAGCGUGGGGAGCAAACAGGAUUA